Molecule: ribosomal RNA, 669 nt
Filed under: uncultured Rickettsia sp.
Lineage: Bacteria; Pseudomonadati; Pseudomonadota; Alphaproteobacteria; Rickettsiales; Rickettsiaceae
Description: bacterial SSU rRNA
Rfam family: Bacterial small subunit ribosomal RNA
Source: RNAcentral
UCCACGCCGUAAACGAUGAGUGCUAGAUAUCGGGAGAUUUUCUUUCGGUUUCGCAGCUAACGCAUUAAGCACUCCGCCUGGGGAGUACGGUCGCAAGAUUAAAACUCAAAGGAAUUGACGGGGGCUCGCACAAGCGGUGGAGCAUGCGGUUUAAUUCGAUGUUACGCGAAAAACCUUACCAACCCUUGACAUGGUGGUCGCGGAUUGCAGAGAUGCUCUCCUUCAGUUCGGCUGGACCACACACAGGUGUUGCAUGGCUGUCGUCAGCUCGUGUCGUGAGAUGUUGGGUUAAGUCCCGCAACGAGCGCAACCCUCAUCCUUAUUUGCCAGUGGGUAAUGCCAGGAACUAUAAGGAAACUGCCGGUGAUAAGCCGGAGGAAGGUGGGGACGACGUCAAGUCAUCAUGGCCCUUACGGGUUGGGCUACACGCGUGCUACAAUGGUGUUUACAGAGGGAAGCAAUACGGUGACGUGGAGCAAAUCCCUAAAAGACAUCUCAGUUCGGAUUGUUCUCUGCAACUCGAGAGCAUGAAGUUGGAAUCGCUAGUAAUCGCGGAUCAGCAUGCCGCGGUGAAUACGUUCUCGGGCCUUGUACACACUGCCCGUCACGCCAUGGGAGUUGGUUUUACCUGAAGGUGGUGAGCUAACGCAAGAGGCAGCCAACCACGGU